UCUCCGGUAUGUCUUCAUAGGAGUAUGAAAAUGGACUAAUACACAAAAUAAAUGUGUUUAAAGAAUACAAUAAAUUCAUGUUAAUUGAAACAAAUAUUUAUUAUGAUACCAAUUUAUAAAUCUUUCUUUUAUACCUCAUGGAUUGCACAGAAAGUUAGAUCAGAGUGUAAGAUGAAGGGGGGCAGUGGCCGUCAGUUGGAGACAGAUCUUCGGGUUGGGAUCCUCAUUUGUUUCUCCGGGUUUUCCAGCAUUAAAUACUUUUCCUUCCCCACUGCUUAUAUUUCCCUUUCAUGAGAACUACGUUCUUGAAUAACGACUUGAACAGGAAUAGUGUUCUGCACUUUAAAUUCGGGAAAUGACCAGUUUCCUGUGCCAGAGAAAAAUAUGUGCUUGAGAAUAUUAUCUAUACAAUGUACUUUGUACUUCCCGCUCAGCCUUUUCUUUCAUCGUGCUGUGUUGUUCAAGUGAUCUGAUACCAAUGUAAAUUCCUGACCAGCACAAUAUGAAGUAUUAUUAUAUUGGAGACAUAAUAGCCUACUGGCAUCUCUGUAUAAAUAUUUGUAUAAUAUUAAAAAUAAGCCAAUUUAACAGAGACAUUAAGAAAAAAGUUGACAAAUAUCUUCAUGUAACCUUCUGAACUGCAUUUAGAAAUCCAUUUUACUUCAUGUUUUUCACCAGCUGACACUGUGGAACAUACUUACGUAUGAAAUGAUACAAGAAAAAUUUGGAAUAUGUGAAAUAUCUUUAUUUCUUUGUUAUAAUUCGGAACCUCAUUAAAAGUUUAUUUUCAUCUGACAUUAAGUUUCUUUACAAAUAGGAUGACUUAUGAUACAUAAAUACAUUAUUAUUUAAAUUUUGUAAAUCAGUCUUAUAAAUCAUUUUCAUUUAAGUGUUCCAUUGGUGCCAUAAAGAAUUGAUAGCACCCGGAAAAAGCAGCUUCGAGAGGAAUAGUCUUCUUUUCUGAACCUGGAUUUUCUAUAGAGGUCUUGUCAGAUUAGCCUGUCAUUUUACUUCCAGCCUGUGUGCUUCUGGUCCAUGCCCUGAUCUUGUGACAUCUCAUUGAAAUUAAAGCUGUGGUCUGACCAAACUUCACAUGCAUUGCUCCUUUUUUAUUAAUACCUUAUGAUCUAAGUUCUUUCAAGGAUUGAGGAGAUAGGCAACAAUUCCUGCUAGCAUCUUAGAGUUUGAUCCUCAAUAAACUUUUUGUGUCUUCUACUCUUUGUGAAUCCCCAAAUUUCUGAAAUGGGUGGAAGAUAAAUAAAUGAAUAGAGAGAUUGACGUGUAUACCAAACGUCUGGGGGCUAGCCUGGGAUCCUGAGCAGAAAAGAUUCAAUACAUUAGUCUGUUGAAUUGGUUUACUGUUAAUAUAGGAGCAGAGAUGAGAAGACAGGGGCCUAACUUACUCUUUAGUUCUGUUCUCUCCAGUGUUAGUAAUAAUUAUAACUGCAUUAGAAGUAAUGGAACUAUGGCUGUGGAUGUAGUAAUAGUGGAGAGUGAUAACCGCCGCAGCAGCAGAAAUAUCAGGUAAUAUUUAUUAGGCUGUAUUUGUGUGCUAGCGCUUUGUAAACUGCCAACUAACAUUGCCUCCAUGUAAUUGUAAUUUUCUCCACUUUUCUGUGAGGCAUGUAUGAUUAUUAACCUGAUUUAAUGGAUGAGGAAACUGAGACUUAAGAGCAUUUGGCCUGUCAUAAAUACUCACCACAGAGCUAAACUCCACCCCCGGGAAACAUCCUAUAUCUGUAUGUGUUUGAGUGGGUAUUUCUAGGUGUGCUGGGGGAGGAAGGUGGUGGGUUAAUUUUGAAGGCUUCCAAACACCCCACUAUAAGCAUCAUACACUUCCUAAUCUUCAUUCUUUUUGAAACUGAUUUCUCCCUUGGGUUUGGUGUAUCCCUGACUAUUCAGGAAAGAGACAUCAAUCACCCAAAACAAUACAAGGAACACAAGAUCUUCAUGAACCAAAUGAUACUUGGAAUGAAUACACCAAUAAGAAUUUAUUGCCAAAAUGUUACUUCAUUAAAAAAAUUUUAAAAUAAAGAACAUGGAAUUAUUUCAAUCCUUGAGAAAACUAGCUGUAUACAUGCCUACCAGAGGUAUCUCUAGCAAAAUAUAUCACUUCUAAGAGUAAAUGCCUCACUUAAUUUUAGAUUCCUUGGGGAACUAAGAGUUAAGUAAAAUAUGCACCAAUUUUCUUAGAUUUAUUUUUAAGUAUUUUCUUUUUUAGCUUAUUAUUAUUAUUAUUUGCUCUGAUCAUGGGAGUGUACAUUUUCACUGAAACACAACUCUGGAAUUAUCAGUAUUAAAAAUUUAUGAGUUAAAAGGACCUUGACAAAACCUUGGGACUGUGGCUGGAAAUGGAAAUGGCUACAGAGAUUCCUAAGUCAAAAAAAA
Molecule: long non-coding RNA, 2388 nt
Organism: Sapajus apella (tufted capuchin)
Lineage: Eukaryota; Metazoa; Chordata; Mammalia; Primates; Cebidae
Exons: 2
Source: RefSeq, a predicted model, not a curated record